GUUUCCGUAGGUGAACCUGCGGAAGGAUCAUUACAGUAGUCAUCCGGGUUGCCGCAAGGCCUCCCGGGUAACCUACCACCCUUUGUUUAUUACACUUUGUUGCUUUGGCAGGCCUGCCCUCGGGCUGCUGGCUCCGGCCGGCGAGCGUCUGCCAGAGGACCUAAACUCUGUUUGUCUAUAAUGUCUGAGUACUAUAUAAUAGUUAAAACUUUCAACAACGGAUCUCUUGGUUCUGGCAUCGAUGAAGAACGCAGCGAAAUGCGAUAAGUAAUGUGAAUUGCAGAAUUCAGUGAAUCAUCGAAUCUUUGAACGCACAUUGCGCCCCCUGGUAUUCCGGGGGGCAUGCCUGUCCGAGCGUCAUUACAACCCUCAAGCUCAGCUUGGUGUUGGGCCCCGCCGCCCCGGCGGGCCCUAAAGUCAGUGGCGGUGCCGUCCGGCUCCGAGCGUAGUAAUUCUUCUCGCUCUGGAGGUCCGGUCGUGUGCUUGCCAGCAACCCCCAAUUUUUUUCAGGUUGACCUCGGAUCAGGUAGGGAUACCCGCUGAACUUAAGC
Molecule: ribosomal RNA, 551 nt
Filed under: Geomyces sp. 10NY07
Lineage: Eukaryota; Fungi; Ascomycota; Leotiomycetes; Thelebolales; Pseudeurotiaceae
Description: eukaryotic LSU rRNA
Rfam family: 5.8S ribosomal RNA (bases 207-360)
Source: RNAcentral